GACGAACGCUGGCGGCGUGCUUAACACAUGCAAGUCGAACGGAAAGGCCCUGCUUUUGUGGGGUGCUCGAGUGGCGAACGGGUGAGUAACACGUGAGUAACCUGCCCUUGACUUUGGGAUAACUUCAGGAAACUGGGGCUAAUACCGGAUAGGAGCUCCUGCUGCAUGGUGGGGGUUGGAAAGUUUCGGCGGUUGGGGAUGGACUCGCGGCUUAUCAGCUUGUUGGUGGGGUAGUGGCUUACCAAGGCUUUGACGGGUAGCCGGCCUGAGAGGGUGACCGGCCAAAUUGGGACUGAGAUAAGGCCCAGAAUACAACGGGAGGCAGCAGUGGGGAAUAUUGCAAAAUGGGCGGAAGCCUGAUGCAGCAACGCCGCGUGCGGGAUGACGGCCUUCGGGUUGUAAACCGAUUUCGCCUGUGACGAAGCGUGAGUGACGGUAAUGGGUAAAGAAGCACCGGCUAACUACGUG
Molecule: ribosomal RNA, 468 nt
Filed under: uncultured bacterium
Lineage: Bacteria
Description: partial 16S ribosomal RNA
Rfam family: Bacterial small subunit ribosomal RNA
Source: RNAcentral